This is a non-coding RNA of Lynx canadensis (Canada lynx), 1031 nucleotides long. Lineage: Eukaryota; Metazoa; Chordata; Mammalia; Carnivora; Felidae. The record is from the annotation of a RefSeq genome assembly.
GAUCUUGUUGCUCAACAUCAUCUGCUCACGCCCUCCCCCCUGCAGCUGGCUGAGCUCUUUGCAGACAGAGACAGGGACAAGAAUCAUCCGUCAGAAAGCUCCAGGCUCAUCUCAGCAGCUUUUGCAUUUUUAUCUCAGCAAGGAACCUGUCCAAAUUUACUUUCUCCACCCUUCUUAUGUCUGAGGGCUUGGUUUCCUCAGCGAGUUUCUUGUCUGCUCAGGGGGAGAUUUUCCUGAGAAGAGCCACUGCCUUUCUACUGCUCGGCCAUGUUCCUGUUGCUUAUCUCAACACUGGGGAUAUUUGCCCUGCGAGACACUGGAGCCCAGUCAGUGACGCAGCCUGAUGUCCAUGUCACUGUCUCUGAAGGAGCCCCUCUGGAGCUGAGGUGCAACUAUUCCUCAAGUGGAACUCCUUAUCUCUUCUGGUACAUGCAGCACCCCAACCAAGGACUCCAGUUUCUACUGAAGUACUUUUCAGGGGACACCCUGGUUAAAGGCAUCAAAGGUUUUGAGGCUGAAUUUAAGAACCAUGAAACCACCUUCCACCUGAGGAAAUCCCAAGCCCUUGGCAGCGAUGUGGCCAAGUACUUCUGUGCUGUGCGUGACACAGUGUCUGGGACUGCAGGGGGAGAUGAACACAAACCACCAUGGAUGGAAAGGCAAAGAGAAUAUUAAAACAAUCUGAAGAAAGAAUACUCCGUUCACCUGAGCAAGAUUUUAUGUGUCCCCUUCCAGUCAUCCUCUUCCUGACGACAAUGACUGCUCUUAUUGCUAUCACCGAAGAUUGAUUUUAAAUGUUCUAGAACUUUAAAUCCAGGAAAUCAUAUGGCAGGGACUCUUUUGUACCUUGUUUCUUUCAUUAAACAAGAUUCACCCAUGCUCUUGUGUGUAUCAGUCGCUCAUUACUUCCUCUUCCUAAGUAUCCUACUAUCUGAAUAUAUCACACUUUGUUUAUUCACAUCUGUAUCCACCACUGGCUGGACACUAGAUCUGUUAAGGGUGAAAUCUUUAAUUCCAUUCAUAAAGUUUCA